This is a long non-coding RNA of Spodoptera frugiperda (fall armyworm), 1313 nucleotides long. RefSeq lists it as uncharacterized. The record is from RefSeq and is a predicted model, not a curated record. The transcript has 2 exons. Lineage: Eukaryota; Metazoa; Arthropoda; Insecta; Lepidoptera; Noctuidae.
GAAGAGAGUAAUCUUGUUAGCAUGUUUAUAAGGCAACUCAAUUACGAGUUGUUAUAUAUAGGAAAGGGGAUUGUUUGGUUUGGGUUAUUAUUUUUUGUAUAUAUUUUUUAUUUAAGGCUUUUUAAGUGGACAACUUUGCCGGUUACCAGGGCUUCGGCUCGUAGCAGGAGUAGGAAUAUGGUGGUUUUUAGUCAGUAAAUCUGCACUCUUUCUCGCCUCACCUAAGGCGGGGAAGAAGUCAUUGGAUGAUAUGCCCCAUUCCAAAAUACGCACUAGUUUAAAAAAAUAUUGGUAAAACAAUCUAUCUACGAUAUUGAAUGACCCUAUAAUAUUCUUCUACAAAUUCACUGAGCGUAUUUCCUAAAUUAAGUGUUAUUGAUAAGAGUUUAAGAUAUUACUGUAAUGUUUAACCGUAACAUGGAGAAAUAUUAAAUUUGAUCAAUAUUUAUCUUAUCUACAGCUAUAUUUGUUCUGUCAUCUUCAACUUGCUUUAAUUAUUCAUUUAUUUAUUAAUGGGUAGCUAUUUAUACAUUAUUUACAGAUUAAAUCUACACUACACAGGUUCAGUGUCCCAUUUCUUGUCAACAAAUCCAAAAUGUUAAUAGGUUAAGAGAAUAAUAUCGAUAAACAACCAUUAAAGUUGAUUGAAUCUAUACUAAUAAACUACAAUUAACCCGGCGUCAUGGGGGUUGGGUCUGUGCGACCCACCACAUUUUAUUUCGCUUGUAGUUCGGUUACUAUGCGUGUGACGUUGCUGCUCUUCUCAAUAGCUGGAGCUGUUGAGUUGUCCUACGCGUCGCAAGCUACACGUUAGUCCUGCCAUGGCCGCAGUGGGAGAUACAGGUGCACAAAGUUAAAAAAGGUACUUAGUAAAAAUGGACCGUGAAGAGGCUGAACGACAGCGUAUUCUGGCAAUUUUACAAGAGUCUGACUCUGAUACUGAGUUGUCAGACCAGGAUGUGUGUGACGAAGAAGAUCACUUGAGGGAGCGUAGUAUUUCAAUUGACACAGAACAGGAUAUCUCAGAGUCUGAUAAUGAUGAUAUUCCACUGUCUAUUCGAUUGCAAUAUAUCUGCGUAGAACAUAUAGUACCUUUCUGUGCUGACUGUACCAAAGAUAAUGAUUCCAAAUGAUUAAUUGUUUAUUUUUUAAAUUUAUUUAGUUACCUACAAAAAAGUGCCAUUAAAUUUUAAGACUGAUUGUUAAUUAAUAAUAAUAUAAUUACAUUUAAGUAGAAGAGAAAAUUUUUGUUGAUAAUUUUAGUUCUUUUUUUUAAAUGUUAUUAUAUAUAAUUAAAACAUAAUAUAACAUAA